Molecule: non-coding RNA, 1480 nt
Organism: Nelumbo nucifera (sacred lotus)
Lineage: Eukaryota; Viridiplantae; Streptophyta; Magnoliopsida; Proteales; Nelumbonaceae
Source: RefSeq, a predicted model, not a curated record
CGACUUCUCCUUGCACCGGCGACCUAUAGCACACCGAAUCCUUUUCUCUCUUCCUCUCUUUGUUGUGACCAUUACCAGCGGUGGUUAAGGAUACAGACUUGUGAAAGAUGGGCAAAGCUUCGAGGGACAAGAGGGAUAUCUAUUAUCGGAAAGCAAAAGAAGAAGGUUGGCGUGCUCGGAGUGCCUUCAAGCUCCUUCAGAUUGAUGAAGAGUUCAAUAUCUUUGAAGGAGUUAAUCGUGCGGUUGAUCUUUGUGCUGCGCCUGGUAGCUGGAGUCAGGUUUUGAGCCGAAAGUUGUAUCUCCCUGCCAAGAUGUCAUCUGAGCCAAAGGAUGAUAAUCUUCCUCUUAUUGUUGCUAUUGAUUUGCAGCCCAUGGCUCCAAUUGAAGGUGUCAUUCAAGUGCAGGGUGACAUUACAAAUGCACGGACAGCCGAAGUGGUAAUCAGACACUUUGAUGGAUGCAAAGCAGAUCUGGUUGUCUGUGAUGGUGCUCCUGAUGUUACUGGACUUCAUGACAUGGAUGAAUUUGUUCAGUCACAGCUCAUACUAGCGGGUUUGACCAUUGUUACUCACGUACUUAGAGAGGGUGGAAAAUUUAUUGCAAAAAUAUUUCGAGGUAAAGAUACAAGUCUCCUAUACUGUCAGCUGAAAUUAUUUUUCUCUGUUGUGACUUUUGCAAAACCAAAAAGUAGCCGUAAUUCCAGUAUAGAGGCAUUCGCAGUUUGUGAGAAUUAUUCCCCUCCUGAAGGAUUUAAUCAGAAAGAUUUACAUCGCCUCCUGGAAAAGGUGGGCAGUCCUUCCGGACAAGAAGACUUGGAUUGUAGUAGUGGAUGGUUGGAAGGACCAAAUAAGGUGUAUAUUCCUUUUUUGGCUUGUGGGGACCUUAGUGGGUAUGAUUCAGAUCGCUCAUACCCCCUUAGUGGAACUUACCAGAGUUUGGAUCCAGUUCAACCACCAAUUGCUCCCCCUUAUAAAAGAGCUCUUGAGAUGAAAAAGGCUUCAAGUCACGGGAUCCGGGAGUCAGAAAAGCUAUCCCUAGAAGGCUAGAAUCUUGAUCUUCUAUACUUCUUCAUUGAAACCCCUGCUUCAACUAAUGAAAAGGAUUUUGGUAUAAUUGAACUUCAGGGUUAGUUUAAGGAGUCUUUGGACUGAUUGGUGGAUAAUGAAUGGAGGUAAAUUUGCUGCAGCAGAUGAGCUGGUGAAAGAGCAUCAAAUAAAGAUGGGGCUUUAGUUUGGACCCCAAGAAUUACUAAUGAAAUUAAGAAAUCUUGGAGGGCAACUGGAGGUGGCUGAUAGCAAGCUUGUCCAUCAAAUGCAGUGAAAAACCAUAAAGAAAUCAUUUCAUUUCAUGUGGCAUCAUCCAAACAUGCUGUGAUUGAAGUUGGGCACGCAUUGUAGCCAUUGUUGUUACUCCCGCUUCACUUUGACCUACCACUAUAUAAAAGGUGAAAAUAGAUAAUACGUGUUUGUCUCGAAGAUAA